AUGGACUCGUGGCGCAGCAGAUCUUGGAUAAUACUGUGCUGCUGCAUCCUUCUGGCCACCAUAGUUUCAGAUGAGAAAUCUGCUGUCCACCGGCCCGUCAGUCCCCGGUGGGCGUUCUCUCAUUGGGUGCUGAUUGAAAGCUCCAGGGGAAAGAGGAGACGGUACAUCAAUGGCGUGUUGUAGUGUGGGGUGG
Long non-coding RNA from Ochotona curzoniae (black-lipped pika), 193 nucleotides. RefSeq lists it as uncharacterized. The transcript is spliced from 3 exons. The record is from RefSeq and is a predicted model, not a curated record. NCBI's taxonomy places the organism in Eukaryota, Metazoa, Chordata, Mammalia, Lagomorpha, Ochotonidae.